GAGUGUACAGCUCAGGGGUAGAGCACGUGCUUAGCAUGCAUGAGGUCCUGGGUUCAAUCCCCAGUACCUUCA
Camelus ferus (Wild Bactrian camel) is the source of this 72-nucleotide transfer RNA. It matches the Rfam family "tRNA". From Rfam's summary of the family: Transfer RNA (tRNA) molecules are approximately 80 nucleotides in length. Their secondary structure includes four short double-helical elements and three loops (D, anti-codon, and T loops). The record is from Rfam. NCBI's taxonomy places the organism in Eukaryota, Metazoa, Chordata, Mammalia, Artiodactyla, Camelidae.